GAGCGGUGCGGACCGGCUCCUGGUCACCGGGCUCGGCCCGGUCGGCGCGGCGGCGGCCAUGGUCGCCCGCGCGUUCGGCGUGCGCACCGUGUAC
RNAcentral lists this transfer RNA (94 nucleotides) under Streptomyces plicatus. RNAcentral's name for it is "tRNA-Arg". Lineage: Bacteria; Bacillati; Actinomycetota; Actinomycetes; Kitasatosporales; Streptomycetaceae. RNAcentral also lists the same sequence under 2 other names. The record is from RNAcentral.